Long non-coding RNA from Gallus gallus (chicken), 634 nucleotides. NCBI's taxonomy places the organism in Eukaryota, Metazoa, Chordata, Aves, Galliformes, Phasianidae. The record is from Ensembl.
ACAAGGAACUAUCAUAAAGUAUGUCUCAGGAGUUUCUGUAAUUCCCAGAGUUUGAGCCUGCAUAAAUAGGAAAUAAAAGAUGAUGAAGUCUUAGCUGCCUGUGAAAACCCACCCUUAUAGUAGGACCAAGCAAGGAUGGGUAUACUUUCCUGAUAAUAAGAACUGAUAAAUCAAUUAAGUGCAUUAGCGGGGUAUAUAAAACUUUUGAAUAAUGUUAUUCAUGAGGUAACUGCCUAGCCUCUGUGUGCAGGGCAUGCUUGUGACAAGAAGGAAUGAUCAAAGACAGCUCAGGAAAUGCGAGAGGGGAAAAAGCUGAAAAUUAAUUCCAGCAUGCCUAAUGAACCAUAAAAGCUUAGAAGAAAUCCCCCCCAUCUCACUUCCAAAGAACAAAGAGAAAACAAUUUCUCUUUCCAGCUGUUCUGCAAACAAAAUAUAAAUUAAUAAAGGCAAAAUGCCUACAGCUGUGGAUGAGGAGAGAGUACUGACUCCUGAUUUGAAUCCCUGUAGCCUGUAUGCUUGGCUUUCCCCUGAUGUGGGACAGGACAUAGUAAAAUGGGACAUCUGAUUCUUCAGGCAUGUUCCAGUCUCGCUGGAUGCUGUUAUCCUUGCCCUUUUGCCAACAGAGGUCCCUGAG